GAUCAUUCCCUUGACUUUGGACUUCGCUUGUAUUGAACCCCUGAACAGACUGGUUUCCACCCAUGCCACAUUAGAUUCUGUGUGUCUGGAUACGACCGAAAGAAGGGUCGUCUCAAUACCUGCUUUCCAAAGUGUUGCCCUGUAACUCAGGAGAUAUGACUGGAUUUUUGUUUUCCUCUACAAACUUUAAUUGUGCAAAUAUGUAAUUAAUUCCUAGCAUGUGCAAGACACCAUGUGCUAACCAAAAACGGAGUCUAUAAAACUCAGAAUGGGCUUGCUCAUGGUUCAGUCCCCCUCCUUAGGUAUCACCUUUUUUUUUUUUUUUUAGACAGAGUCUUACUUUGUCACCCAGGCUGGAGUGCAGUGACUUGAUAUCACCUCACUGCAACCUCCACCUCCUAGGCUCCAAGUGAUCCUUCCACCUCAGCCUCUCGAGUACCUGGGACUACAGGUGUGCACCAACAUGCCAAGCUAAUUUUUGUAUAUAUAUAUUUUUAGUAGAGACAGGGUUUUGCCAUGUUGCCCAGCGUGGUCUCAAACUCCUGGGCCUCCCAAAGUGCUGGAAUUAUAAGUGUGAGCCACCACAGCUGGCCAAGUAUCACCUUCUAAGUAAUGACUUUGUGACGCAUAGAAGAGCAACACCUUUUAAAGUCACACCUCAUCUGCCCUAUGGGGAAAAAAGUAUGUUAUUAAGCACUUACUUUGUCCAAGCUCUGUGGAAAAUGCUGGAGAUAUCAUUUCUACUCUAAAGGGCCAGAACAUUUACUUCAAACAUUUGAAGCAUGGCCAUCAACGGCUUGGGAAAGCCAAAACGGAACAGAUGUUGACCUAAAAAGAAAGCAAGUGGGCCGGACGUGAUGGCUCAUGUCUGUAAUCCCAGCACUUUGGGAGGCCGAGGCGGAUGGAACACCUGAGGUCAGGAGUUCAAGACCAGCCUGUCCAACAUGGUGAAACCCUGUCUCUACUAAAAAUACAAAAAUUAGCUAGUGUGUUGGUGGGCAUCUGUAAUCCCAGCUACUCAGAGGCUGAGGCAGGAGAAUUACUUGAACCCGGGAGGUGAAGGUUGCAGUGAGCCAAGAUUGCACCAUUGCACUCCAGUCUGGGAAACAAGAGCAAAAUUCCAUCUCAAAAAAAAAAAGAGAGAGACAGAGAGGUACCAUUGAAGAGAAGAGAAGAGAAACACAGUGGCUCCUGACAGGAAUCAAGGUUGCUAAGAGACCACCUGUGCUGAAUGCACUUUGUUCUGGCAAGAGCAGAAAACUGAGAAGCCGUGUUACCUACCACUAGCUGGGAUUAAUUCAGGGAGCGGGAGUGUUCUGGAUAUGACUGGUAAAAACUGGAUAUUAAUUUCUACUACUCCUCCCAAAAGUCUAGAAGAUGAAAUUGUGGGAAGACUUCUAAAAAUUUUGUUUGUUAUCUUUGUUGACUUAAUGUCUAUUAUAUAUGUUGUGAUAACUUCUUAGAAAGCUUCCUUUCCAUGUACAUUUCAAAUUGAAUUACAGUGAAUAAAAAUGUGCAUUUU
This 1522-nucleotide long non-coding RNA is filed under the name Macaca fascicularis (crab-eating macaque). RNAcentral describes it as "lncRNA (ENSMFAG00000059183.1)". Lineage: Eukaryota; Metazoa; Chordata; Mammalia; Primates; Cercopithecidae. The record is from RNAcentral.